Molecule: long non-coding RNA, 578 nt
Organism: Heterocephalus glaber (naked mole-rat)
Lineage: Eukaryota; Metazoa; Chordata; Mammalia; Rodentia; Bathyergidae
Source: Ensembl
GGCUGAGCUUGGACCUUGCACUUCCUGGGAGCCAAGGACCAAAUCCCUGCUGGGGAAGAGCGGCAGCGGGGUGCCCCCCACCCCGGGCAGCAGGGCAGGGAGCCAGAAGGAGGAGGAAGGAGCCUGGCCUCCUCCAUCACAGCCUAGGCAGAGACUGCACAGUGGAGAUGAUGAAGACGGGAGAGUCCAGACCCUGCAGGUCCUGCAGCAGCUGGCAGGUGCUUCAGGACCUGGCAGCAGGUCGUGCAGAGGGGCCCAGUGCCAGGGCCACCUGGCUGAAUGUCCUGUGAGGAUCCUGAGGAGGUGCCUGGGACAGUGGGUGCGUGCGGAUGAGGCAACUCCGAGCCUCAGAGGAGGCGAAGGUGACCCAGCUGUCCCUCUGGCGGCAGAGGAGGGGGACCUGGCCCUCUGGAGCUCAGCCCACGACGUGGAGACAGUGGCCUGGGUGUCCCUGCAUGGUGCCUGCUGGAGACUGGCCCUCCGCCGGGCCCUGCUGCUCUGGGGCACGCAGCUGUCUCAGGGCCAGCGGGCCAAAUGGCAGCUGGGAGGCGCCAGGGACACUGAGGCAUUGAGCGAGC